RNAcentral lists this ribosomal RNA (486 nucleotides) under Mexistrophia reticulata. RNAcentral's name for it is "partial 16S ribosomal RNA". The stretch from base 1 to 200 matches the Rfam family "Archaeal large subunit ribosomal RNA", at positions 1911 to 2146 of the family's 2987-position model. Lineage: Eukaryota; Metazoa; Mollusca; Gastropoda; Stylommatophora; Cerionidae. The record is from RNAcentral.
AGCCUUAUGUUAUGUAACAACAUCUUCAUAUAAGGUUACUUCUGCCCUAUGGCUCAUGCUAAAUGGCCGCAGUACCCUGACUGUGCAAAGGUAGCAUAAUAACUUGGCUUUUAAUUGGAGUCUGGAAUGAAAGAAGACUUUGGGUAAAAUCUUUCCCAAUAUUUUUAUUUUAAAAUUACUUAGUAAGUGAAAAUUCUUACAAAUUAAAUAAUAGACGAGAAGACCCUAAGAGCUCAUAAGAAAAAAAUAAAAGUUUAACGUGAAUUUUAUUUUUGUUAAUUAGUUAUUUCUUGUUUUUGCUGGGGCGGCAAUUUUUUAUAAUCAAAAAUUUAACAAGUUAUACAGGAAGAUAUAAUAGUAAGUAAGAUUAAGCUACCUUAGGGAUAACAGCAUAAUUUACUUUUAAGAUUGUGACCUCGAUGUUGGACUAGGUAAAUUUGUUAACAGAAUUAACAAUUUUCUGUUCUGUUCGAACAUUUUACACCU